GUGUCAGCCGCCGCGGUAAUACGUAGGUGGCAAGCGUUGUCCGGAUUUAUUGGGCGUAAAGCGAGCGCAGGCGGUUUCUUAAGUCUGAUGUGAAAGCCCCCGGCUCAACCGUGGAGGGUCAUUGGAAACUGGAAAACUUGAGUGCAGAAGAGGAAAGUGGAAUUCCACGUGUAGCGGUGAAAUGCGCAGAGAUAUGGAGGAACACCAGUGGCGAAGGCGACUUUCUGGUCUGUAACUGACGCUGAUGUGCGAAAGCGUGGGGAUCAAACAGGAUUAGAAACC
This 282-nucleotide ribosomal RNA is filed under the name uncultured prokaryote. RNAcentral describes it as "partial 16S ribosomal RNA". It matches the Rfam family "Bacterial small subunit ribosomal RNA", at positions 505 to 786 of the family's 1533-position model. The record is from RNAcentral.